GCUUCAAUGGUGGUAGCUGUUUCCUCAAUGCUCGGAGGCAGCCCAAGUGCCGCUGCCAGCCCCGUUACACAGGCGAUAAGUGUGAGCUGGACCAGUGCUGGGAAUACUGUCACAACGGAGGCACCUGUGCAGCCUCCCCAUCUGGCAUGCCCACGUGCCGCUGUCCCACAGGCUUCACAGGCCCCAGAUGCACCCAGCAGGUGUGUGCAGGCUACUGUGCUAACAACAGCACCUGCACCGUCAACCAGGGUAACCAGCCCCAGUGCCGAUGUCUACCUGGCUUCCUGGGUGACCGUUGCCAGUACCGUGAGUAUUCACCCCAACCCCAGCGAAGGAAGAGGGGAGCAGGAACGCAAAGGGGCAGUUCGAGAGGAUGGAAGCCAUCUGCAGAUGAACCAAGCCCAGGCCUGUGGGUGCUGCCCCCCACAUUGGCACACCUUCCUGGUGUAGGGAGCCUCCAGGCGUCAGGAUCAUUCAACAAAAGGAAUGCCCUUUCUGAAUGCUUAGGGAACACCCUAGUGUCCUGGGGUCUGUGACAGGGCAUUAGGGGGCUCAGGAGGAGGUGGGAGUCAUCCACAGGUCCUGGACAGCCCUCGACCCUGCACAGUUGGAUCCUUAUGAAGGGGCGGGGCUUGAGGUACUUCCUCUCCACUCCCAACCACAGGGCAGUGCUCAGGCUUCUGUGAGAACUUUGGCACCUGUCAGAUGGCCGCCGAUGGCUCCCGACAAUGUCGAUGCACUGUCUACUUUGAGGGAACGAGGUGUGAGGUGAACAAGUGUAGUCGCUGUCUCCAGGGAGCCUGUGUGGUCAAUAAGCAGACGGGAGAUGUCACCUGCAACUGCACUGAUGGCCGGGUAGCUCCCAGUUGUCUGACCUGCAUCGACCACUGUAGCAAUGGUGGCUCCUGCACCAUGAACAGCAAGAUGAUGCCAGAGUGCCAGUGCCCACCCCAUAUGACAGGACCCCGGUGCGAGGAGCAGGUUGUCAGUCAGCAACAGCCUGGGCAUAUGACCUCCAUCCUGAUCC
RNAcentral lists this long non-coding RNA (1027 nucleotides) under Rattus norvegicus (Norway rat). RNAcentral's name for it is "long non-coding RNA NONRATT026839". The record is from RNAcentral. Lineage: Eukaryota; Metazoa; Chordata; Mammalia; Rodentia; Muridae.